RNAcentral lists this ribosomal RNA (829 nucleotides) under Streptomyces cacaoi. Its description in RNAcentral is "bacterial SSU rRNA". It matches the Rfam family "Bacterial small subunit ribosomal RNA", at positions 173 to 1017 of the family's 1533-position model. Lineage: Bacteria; Bacillati; Actinomycetota; Actinomycetes; Kitasatosporales; Streptomycetaceae. The record is from RNAcentral.
AUCACUCCCGCAGGCAUCUGUGGGGGUCGAAAGCUCCGGCGGUGAAGGAUGAGCCCGCGGCCUAUCAGCUUGUUGGUGAGGUAAUGGCUCACCAAGGCGACGACGGGUAGCCGGCCUGAGAGGGCGACCGGCCACACUGGGACUGAGACACGGCCCAGACUCCUACGGGAGGCAGCAGUGGGGAAUAUUGCACAAUGGGCGAAAGCCUGAUGCAGCGACGCCGCGUGAGGGAUGACGGCCUUCGGGUUGUAAACCUCUUUCAGCAGGGAAGAAGCGAAAGUGACGGUACCUGCAGAAGAAGCGCCGGCUAACUACGUGCCAGCAGCCGCGGUAAUACGUAGGGCGCAAGCGUUGUCCGGAAUUAUUGGGCGUAAAGAGCUCGUAGGCGGUCUGUCGCGUCGGAUGUGAAAGCCCGGGGCUUAACCCCGGGUCUGCAUUCGAUACGGGCAGACUAGAGUGUGGUAGGGGAGAUCGGAAUUCCUGGUGUAGCGGUGAAAUGCGCAGAUAUCAGGAGGAACACCGGUGGCGAAGGCGGAUCUCUGGGCCAUUACUGACGCUGAGGAGCGAAAGCGUGGGGAGCGAACAGGAUUAGAUACCCUGGUAGUCCACGCCGUAAACGGUGGGAACUAGGUGUUGGCGACAUUCCACGUCGUCGGUGCCGCAGCUAACGCAUUAAGUUCCCCGCCUGGGGAGUACGGCCGCAAGGCUAAACUCAAAGGAAUUGACGGGGGCCCGCACAAGCAGCGGAGCAUGUGGCUUAAUUCGACGCAACGCGAGAACCUUACCAAGGCUUGACAUACACCGGAAACGUCUGGAGACAGGCGCCCCU